UCUGGUGGUUUUUGCGAGGGGCCCAGAACCCGAUCCCAUCCCGAACUCGACCGUUAAACCCUUCUGCGCCGAUGGUACUAAGUCUCAAGACUUGGGAGAGUAGGUCGCUGCCAGGU
This 116-nucleotide ribosomal RNA is filed under the name Devosia sp. The record is from RNAcentral. Lineage: Bacteria; Pseudomonadati; Pseudomonadota; Alphaproteobacteria; Hyphomicrobiales; Devosiaceae.